RNAcentral lists this ribosomal RNA (404 nucleotides) under uncultured bacterium. RNAcentral's name for it is "bacterial SSU rRNA". It matches the Rfam family "Bacterial small subunit ribosomal RNA", at positions 355 to 774 of the family's 1533-position model. The record is from RNAcentral.
UGGGGAAUAUUGCACAAUGGAGGAAACUCUGAUGCAGCGACGCCGCGUGAGUGAAGAAGGUCUUCGGAUCGUAAAACUCUGUCCUUGGUGACGAAAAAAAUGACGGUAGCCAAGGAGGAAGCCCCGGCUAACUACGUGCCAGCAGCCGCGGUAAUACGUAGGGGGCGAGCGUUGUCCGGAUUUACUGGGCGUAAAGGGUGAGUAGGCGGUAAUAUGUGUCAGAUGUAAAAGGCUAUGGCUUAACCAUAGUUAGCAUUUGAAACUGUAUUAAUUGAGUGCAGGAGAGGUAAGUGGAAUUCCUAGUGUACCGGUGAAAUGCGUAGAUAUUAGGAGGAACACCAGUGGCGAAGGCGACUUACUGGACUGUAACUGACGCUGAGUCACGAAAGCGUGGGUAGCAAACA